RNAcentral lists this ribosomal RNA (956 nucleotides) under uncultured Neocallimastigales. RNAcentral's name for it is "partial large subunit ribosomal RNA". It matches the Rfam family "Eukaryotic large subunit ribosomal RNA", at positions 22 to 644 of the family's 3401-position model. Lineage: Eukaryota; Fungi; Neocallimastigomycota; Neocallimastigomycetes; Neocallimastigales. The record is from RNAcentral.
UACACGCUGUGACUAGCAUAUCAAUAAGCGGAGGAAAAGAAACUAACAAGGAUUCCCCUAGUAACGGCGAGUGAAGCGGGAAGAGCUCAAAUUUGAAAUCUUAAAGGGUUUCCCUUUACGAAUUGUAGUUUAAAGAAGUGUUUUCUGUUGAGGUUUUGGUAAAAGUUCCUUGGAAUAGGACAUCAUAGAGGGUGAGAAUCCCGUAUUUGACCUUUACUUUCAACUUUGUGAUACACUUUCAAAGAGUCGGAUUGUUUGGGAAUGCAGUCCAAAAUGGGUGGUAAAUUUCAUCUAAAGCUAAAUAUUGGCGAGAGACCGAUAGCUGAACAAGUACCGUGAGGGAAAGAUGAAAAGAACUUUGAAAAGAGAGUUAAACAGUACGUGAAAUUGUCAAAAGGGAAGCGUUUGACACCAGUGUUGUUUUUCUGAAAAUCAAUUAAAGAACUGUUUAUGCUAAGCUGUUUAGACUUUAUCAGCUAACUGUUUAGUUUUGAGCUUUUCUUUAAUGCACUUUUCAGUUAACAAGUCAACAUCAAUUUCUUUUGCUGUAAAAAAGCUUGAGGAAGGUGGCUUGAGAUUCGUCUUAAGUGUUUAUAGCCUCUUGCCUAUGCAGUCGGAGAGAUUGAGGUCUGCAGCGUAGAUCCUUCGGGGCUAAAUGCAUUUGUGCUAAGUUAUAACAUUUUAUAGACAACUUGUUGACUAUGAUUUGUCUUGUAGCUUACUCGCUUAUGUUAUUUUACCUACGCUUAGGAUGUUGACGAGACUGUCGAUCUCAUCUAUACAUGACUCUGUGCAUAUCAAUAAGCGGAGGAAAAGGCUGCGGAACUGAACGACCGCUACCUACGCUUAGGAUGUUGACGAGACUGUCGAUCUCAUCUAUACAUGACUCUGUGCAUAUCAAUAAGCGGAGGAAAAGUACUACCUACGCUUAGGAUGUUGAAUCUGUGCGAGACUAC